This is a long non-coding RNA of Pseudophryne corroboree (corroboree frog), 1671 nucleotides long. RefSeq lists it as uncharacterized. NCBI's taxonomy places the organism in Eukaryota, Metazoa, Chordata, Amphibia, Anura, Myobatrachidae. The transcript is spliced from 3 exons. The record is from RefSeq and is a predicted model, not a curated record.
CUUCUCUGCAUGACUGUGGGCACUGAGCAGGAAGCCGAGGAGGGGAGCAGUGUAGCGCCACAUGGCUGCACUAGGUAUAUAUUACUGCUGAGAGAAGUUAUCACCAGAGCAGGGGUGAAAGGAAAAUGAGUCGCCGAGAACUUAGCAUUCUUCUGGAGGACCAGAGACAGUGGAUGAGGACACUUGGAGAUCUUGAUGAACUUUCUCCUAUCAUAUAUGAGGAGAGGCUGAGGUCAGGGCGCCGUCAGAAUGCAGAAUUGAGAGUUCGAUGGCAAAAUUCUGGACGUAUAGGAGGACAAAGGUCUACUCGGCCGAGAGAAAAUAAUGUUCGACACAGGAGCCAAUCUCCGCAGCAACUUACUAGGGAGCGUUCACAAACAAUGAGAAGACAGCCUAUGCUACAUUCUGCGUUAUCUGAACGCAUGAUAGCAGAGAGACCAGGCCAAAACCCUAUCGCUGGCCCAAGUCGGUUUCUCCCAAACCCCAUCUCUGCGCCAAGUCAGCCUAUCCCUAACCCCAGCCCUGGGCCAAGUCAGCCUCUCCCAAACCCCAGCCCUGGGCAGAAUCUCUCAGCUGGCCAUUGGGCACAAUUAUUUAUGAGACUCCCAUUUCGCUAUGUCACCGAGAGUGAAAACAAGGAAUCCUGCAGAAUUUGUAUAGUGGAUUAUGAGAAUGGGGAGCGGGUUACGGUAUUACCUUGCAGGCACGUAUUCCAUCCCCAUUGCAUUUCAGAAUGGAUACAAAUAAGCCCCAGUUGUCCUCUGUGCCGUAGGCCGUCCUUUCAGCAAAGAACAUGGAUAAACAUGUGUCAUAUCUUGUGAGUUCCAAAGGAAAUUUUGCAGUAAAUAUUGUCAUUCCACCAGGCUGAUAUCAGUUAAAAGGAGCUUCCUGAUAUUCCAACAUUUCAUCAGCAAUAUGUUCUGUGAUUGCACAGACCAGUAUGAUGUAAUCUACUGAUAUUUUGGGGUGCAGUGACCUGUUUACUUGUAAGAUUAGGUUAGUGAAGACUAGGCUGCACGUGAUAAGGCAGUGUCAUGUUGUAAGGAGGUGAAUGGAGGCAGCAGAAAGACAGACAAAUUUAGCUAUUGGAAGGAGCAGGAUUGGAAUGUGGAAAAAUAUAACUAUCCUUAAACAGAAACACUCAACCAUUUAGCAUCAGUUCUACAGUGUGGUGAGUGGUUGUUGUUUUAGAGCAGCCCAUCCAUUGGAGUUUGGGACUCCUUCUGAACUAAUCUGCAUGUCUUUCCAUCCUGUGAGUCUUGUAACUUGGUGGACCUGCACUGUACUGGACUCACUACUACUACAGCAUACCUCCCAACAUGACCCUCUCCAGGAGGGACACAAUGCUCUGCUCCUGGACUUCCCACUUAAUUUAGGAUUGCCAUCACCUGUGCUGAAACACCUUUCUUAUCCAUUACCUGUUCAACACAGGAGCCGGCAAUCAUAAAUGAAGAGAAAAGUCCAGAAGCAGAGCAUUGUGUCCCUCCUGGAGAGGGUCAUGUUGGGAGGUAUGCUACAGGGAUGGGCAAAGCACCGGAAAUCAAGGAUCCCUGAGUAAAGGUGGUUGCAAACUUGUGAUCUAACGUGUUAAUAGUCAAUGUUUCUGUUGAAGACAACUGCCAUUUUUAUUCCAGUGUAUUUCUUUUACAAUAAAAGUAAUGUUCUGUUUCA